UACGUAGGGUGCUAGCGUUGUCCGGAAUCAUUGGGCGUAAAGAGCGUGUAGGCGGUCCGGUAAGUCCGUUGUGAAAGUCAGGGGCUCAACCCUUGAAUGCCGGCGGAUACUGUCGGGCUAGAGUCCGGAAGAGGCAAGUGGAAUUCCCGGUGUAGCGGUGAAAUGCGCAGAUAUCGGGAGGAACACCUAUGGCGAAGGCAGCUCGCUGGGCCAUUCCUGACGCUGAGACGCGAAAGCUAGGGGAGCGAACAGG
Molecule: ribosomal RNA, 253 nt
Filed under: uncultured bacterium
Lineage: Bacteria
Description: partial 16S ribosomal RNA
Rfam family: Bacterial small subunit ribosomal RNA
Source: RNAcentral